This 803-nucleotide long non-coding RNA is filed under the name Nicotiana benthamiana. RNAcentral describes it as "long non-coding RNA (NBEN_LNC020775)". Lineage: Eukaryota; Viridiplantae; Streptophyta; Magnoliopsida; Solanales; Solanaceae. The record is from RNAcentral.
GAGGAUGCAUGAUAAAUGGUAUAGGUACACGUAUUUAAUUAUUCUCCGCCAUUAUGUCUUCCCAAAAAAUCUCUCUCCUCCAUUUUCGCCUUUCAUAUGCACCACCAAGACAGCUACAACCGACGACCCUCUCUUUGCAAAGUAUUCCCCUUUCCCGCAUCUCUCCCCUCUCUCCCCCCAUCUAUUUCCUCUAUCUCUCCUAUCUUUCUCAGUCUUUUCCUCUUUUUUCUUCUUUGUGCAUUCCUCUCGUCACCGACGACCUUGCCAAAGAUAAUGCCUUCUCUCUCCUCUUUCUACUUUUCUCCCUCUCCCUGUCAUUCCCCUCCGUGUGUGUAGGUGGGUGAGUGUUCCGGCUAGUCCCAGGGCAAAUUGUCUCCUGCACGAGAUCUAGUCACUCACUGGUGCAUGAGCACUAACUUAGUCAACUUUCGGGAUUGAUUUGGCAUCACUAGUGGUCGCCUCCUCAACUAGAAUUAUCCUAUUAGACUUCUACCCAGUGCCUACAUGAAACCAACAAUAAAUGGUAGCUGCGGUUCAGUCACUCUGGUCAACUUGGUCAGCGACCGUCAUUCAGGGGUUCUUUACUGCCAAUGAGUGGUUGCACCGGUCGUCGUUCCCAACUAGAAUCUAGGUUCUAUCUUUCUUGCCUUUUUAUAUUUUGUUUAUCAAUUGAUUGUUUAUCUUUGUUGUACAUUUCGUUUCUGAUGUACUCUUUAAAUCUGUUGUUUUGUUCCUAGUGUAUUAUUGUUUUAUUACAUUAUGUUUUCGAUAUAUUCUGUUAUAACUUGUUGCUUUGUUCCGAA